AUUGAACGCUGGCGGUAUGCUUAACACAUGCAAGUCGAACGGUAACAUAGACUUCGGUCUGAUGACGAGUGGCGGACGGGUGAGUAAGAUAUAGGAAUCUGGCUUGUAGAGGGGGAUAACUAUCCGAAAGGAUAGCUAAUACCGCAUAAUGAUUACGGUUUAAAGCAGGGGCUCUUCGGACCUUGCGCUACAAGAUGAGCCUAUAUAAGAUUAGCUAGUUGGUGGGGCAAAGGCUCACCAAGGCGACGAUCUUUAGCUGGUCUGAAAGGAUGAGCAGCCACACUGGGACUGAGACACGGCCCAGACUCCUACGGGAGGCAGCAGUGGGGAAUAUUGGACAAUGGGCGGAAGCCUGAUCCAGCAAUACCGCGUCUGUGAAGAAGGCCUUCGGGUUGUAAAGCACUUUUGUUAGGGAGGAUGGUGAUUUAGGCUAAUACCCUAAGUCGCUGACGUUACCUAAAGAAUAAGCACCGGCUAACUCCGUGCCAGCCGCCGCUGUAA
RNAcentral lists this ribosomal RNA (501 nucleotides) under uncultured bacterium. RNAcentral describes it as "partial 16S ribosomal RNA". It matches the Rfam family "Bacterial small subunit ribosomal RNA", at positions 30 to 523 of the family's 1533-position model. The record is from RNAcentral.